GGAGGCUACAGUUCUGUCUCCUCACCACAGGAAGGGAGCCGCAAGGGCCAAGAGACCCUGGAACGGGUUGGAAAGGGGAUAACUGUUGAGGGAUAAAGGGGACUGCAUGGUGGCACUGUAAAAUAAAGCACAAGGGUGAAACACCAGAAGAAGGCAUGCGGGUUCUUAUUUUACCAGCCUAAGCACAGAGUGAGAAAGCAGAAACCUGUGCGGACCCUGUGACAGGAACCACUAGCUUUAUAUCCAUUUGUGUAUAUGUAGGGUUUACAAUUUGGUCUCCAGAGAUGAACUGAUAUGUGCAGUUAAUUCUGCUACCUAGACUAACACCCUUUAUAUUUUCUUUACAAGAGCAUUGUCCAAACUGCAUUAAGUUAGCACAGACUUCUUAAUACAGUCUUGCAAAAUUCUUCUUGUCCCUGGACCCAAAUGAGUAGUUUCUCUGAUGGCUGAAUGAAGGUUUUAGCUUUUAAUUAAUAUUAUCCUCUUUGUAAAGACGGCUACCGUCUCAAGGUGAUCAUGGAAGGGGAGGGUGUGCUCGAGUUUCACUCCAAGGGUCCUCAGACAGUGAGAGAGGGAGGACAGAAAACCAGGAAAAUCUGCAUUUCAGCAAACAGAGACCCCUGCCUCAUUCAGAGCACAGAAUGGAAGCAGAAGGGGAAGAAUUAAGAUUGUACAGGAAUGAAACUGUUGACCUUAAAAACCUUCCAUAUUGUUUUUAAAUGAAAGAGCCUGCAUAUUCAAGAACACAGGCUGCUGAAACCACAUCAUACUGAUGCUCUGCAUUUGGUUCUCAUUGGAUACAGAAGAAGAAUCAAGAUUUCCUUCCUCAUCAAACUCUGCCAUGAGAUUGGCCCAAACUACCUGAGGGACUAUUUCAUUCUCUGAAGUCAUGAGCUCCCACUGGGUGCAAAGUGCUCCACUGGAACCAAAGAACUGUCAAUCUCAAGAGUUAGACUGUGUAUACUGGACAUAGGCAGAGCUUCCUUGGCAAUUGGCCUGUAUCUGUCGAACUCAUUGCUGGAAUAUCUCUGAAUCACUACAAAUCUCACUGUCUUCAGAUCAAAAUGUCUUUUUCUUGCAUUGUUUGUUUGUAAAACAAUUAUUUAGUAAAUAAAAUGUUUGGGUAUUGAAUACCAAAGCUUUGUGGAUAGUUCAAGUCUUCAUAAAAGCAUUGUGUCAUUUAGAUCCACAUAUACCGGUAACUCAGACUUUCAAACUCUGCUUCU
This is a long non-coding RNA of Mauremys reevesii (Reeves's turtle), 1226 nucleotides long. RefSeq lists it as uncharacterized. The record is from RefSeq and is a predicted model, not a curated record. Lineage: Eukaryota; Metazoa; Chordata; Testudines; Geoemydidae. The transcript has 5 exons.